UACGGAGGGUGCGAGCGUUGUCCGGAAUCACUGGGCGUAAAGGGCGCGUAGGCGGCCUGAUAAGUAGGGGGUGAAAUCCUGCGGCUUAACCGCAGGGCUGCCUUCUAAACUGUCGGGCUUGAGCACAGUAGAGGCAGGUGGAAUUCCCGGUGUAGCGGUGGAAUGCGUAGAGAUCGGGAAGAACAUCAGUGGCGAAGGCGGCCUGCUGGGCUGUUGCUGACGCUGAGGCGCGACAGCGUGGGGAGCAAACAGG
This 253-nucleotide ribosomal RNA is filed under the name uncultured bacterium. RNAcentral describes it as "partial 16S ribosomal RNA". It matches the Rfam family "Bacterial small subunit ribosomal RNA", at positions 524 to 776 of the family's 1533-position model. The record is from RNAcentral.